RNAcentral lists this ribosomal RNA (358 nucleotides) under uncultured bacterium. RNAcentral's name for it is "bacterial SSU rRNA". It matches the Rfam family "Bacterial small subunit ribosomal RNA", at positions 536 to 896 of the family's 1533-position model. The record is from RNAcentral.
AAGCGUUAUCCGGAUUCAUUGGGUUUAAAGGGUGCGUAGGUGGAAAGAUAAGUCAGUGGUGAAAUCUCCGGGCUCAACUCGGAAACUGCCAUUGAUACUGUUUUUCUUGAGUGCAUAUGAUGUGGGCGGAAUAUGACAUGUAGUGGUGAAAUACUUAGAUAUGUCAUAGAACACCGAUUGCGAAGGCAGCUCACAAAACUGCAACUGACACUGAGGCACGAAAGCGUGGGGAUCAAACAGGAUUAGAUACCCUGGUAGUCCACGCCUUAAACUAUGAUAACUCGAUGUUGGCGAUACACUGCCAGCGUCCAASCKAAAGCGUUAAKUUAUCCACCUGGGGAGUACGGUCGCAAGACUG